Molecule: non-coding RNA, 31 nt
Filed under: Homo sapiens (human)
Lineage: Eukaryota; Metazoa; Chordata; Mammalia; Primates; Hominidae
Source: RNAcentral
UGUCCCCAUCAAAAUAUCCAGCACUCCACCU